CUGUCUUGUUCUGUUGGGGUUUUGAAUCGAAAAUGUGCUACUCCUGUGUUCCGUUGGUUUGUGCUUUCUAUCGCCACCACCGUGAAUUAACCUUGGACCCCUGCCUUCUGCCUAGCCGAGCUGGUGUGUUUUUGUGGGGCCAGUGACCGUCCCUUGGCAAGCCCCCUUGCUUGCAAACUGUCCUUAUGGGGCACCAUGCAGCUGCCGCAGAGAGCAUCUUCCUGUUUCUCAGCCUAUCAUUCCAUUGGCUCUGCCUGAGCUGCAGCAAAGGCAAGACAUCACAGGGGGCCUCCUUACCAGAGUGGGGUGCCUCAAUCCAGGCACACAAAGAACAACAGGGAAGCCAGAUGCCUUUGCCAGGCAACCUGAGAAAACUGAGAUCAAGAGUUCAAGGUCACAGAACUGGUACAAGGCAGAACUAGCCCCCGGAACCAGGUCUUCUAAUUCCAGAUCCAGAAGUCUUACUCCUUCUCUCUCCUCACCCCACCCCCACCACCCAGUACUACUGGUGUUAUAAAGGAAAGACAUUGGUCAGCUGCAAAGUAUUUUUAUCACUGUGAGCUUUUAUUAUAAAGGAACUCUUAU
RNAcentral lists this long non-coding RNA (585 nucleotides) under Sarcophilus harrisii (Tasmanian devil). RNAcentral describes it as "lncRNA (ENSSHAG00000027045.1)". The record is from RNAcentral. Lineage: Eukaryota; Metazoa; Chordata; Mammalia; Dasyuromorphia; Dasyuridae.